Molecule: ribosomal RNA, 253 nt
Filed under: uncultured microorganism
Description: partial 16S ribosomal RNA
Rfam family: Bacterial small subunit ribosomal RNA
Source: RNAcentral
UACGGAGGGUGCAAGCGUUAAUCGGAAUUACUGGGCUUAAAGCGCACGCAGGCGGCUUGUUAAGUCGGAUGUGAAAGCCCCGGGCUCAACCUGGGAAUGGCAUCUGAUACUGGGAAGCUAGAGUAUGUGAGAGGGGGGUAGAAUUCCAAGUGUAGCGGUGAAAUGCGUAGAGAUUUGGAGGAAUACCAGUGGCGAAGGCGGCCCCCUGGCACAAUACUGACGCUCAGGUGCGAAAGCGUGGGGAGCAAACAGG